This is a non-coding RNA of Phascolarctos cinereus (koala), 434 nucleotides long. NCBI's taxonomy places the organism in Eukaryota, Metazoa, Chordata, Mammalia, Diprotodontia, Phascolarctidae. The record is from RefSeq and is a predicted model, not a curated record.
GAAUUCAUUUCUGGGAAUGUCACAAGAGGACAUCCCACGGCAGGUAAGGCUUAUGAAAUAUCUGGAUAAAUCACACACACUGCUGCCUGGCUACUUGCCAACAACCACAGCUCCUCUGAAAGCCCUAAGGCUUUAAUGAACCUACAAAAGGCUCCCAUCCCUCCAGAUCUCAACAGAGGUUCUGACUCCUCCACCCCACAUUUUCCCCUGUACAACUGACCAGGGUGUUAAUUCACCUGGUGAAGUUGGUUGGACCAUGCCCGGAAAACCAUGGGUUUGUCAUGGGAGGAUGAGGCAGUGAAUUUUUCGAGCUGGUUAGAUGGGAACAGCUCUGGAAAUCUGAGGGUCCCCCGCUGAGCACCAAGGGACAGGCCCCUGUAGCCUCGACUUUCUGCUCUGUUCUCUUCCAGGUCGGGUUCAUAAGCAGUAUUGAU